This 269-nucleotide long non-coding RNA is filed under the name Phoenix dactylifera (date palm). Its description in RNAcentral is "long non-coding RNA (PDAC_LNC015617)". The record is from RNAcentral. Lineage: Eukaryota; Viridiplantae; Streptophyta; Magnoliopsida; Arecales; Arecaceae.
AACAAGCACAAUAUUGAAAGAGUUUUACAAACAAUUAGAAAGCUCUAAAUAAGCAAAUAUGACAAUGAUAAACAAUAGAACCCGGAAGAAUCCUUUUGCCGUUGGAAGCGUGGGAAAUGGUGAUUCUUCCGAUGUGGAUUGCGUAGGUUUGAGUGUGAGCUUUGAAUCCCGGGCGGAAGAGAGUAGUUGAGCUUGAAAUCACUUGGGAAGCUUGAAAGCACUUGAUUUCUUCACUUGAAUGCACUAACUCCCUUGAACCUCUUUUUCUU